RNAcentral lists this small RNA (465 nucleotides) under Oryza sativa Japonica Group (Japanese rice). RNAcentral's name for it is "sRNA Os01g0521250". Lineage: Eukaryota; Viridiplantae; Streptophyta; Magnoliopsida; Poales; Poaceae. The record is from RNAcentral.
GAAGGUGGAGCAGUUUUUAUCUUCUUAGUUUUUGUUUAUAUGUAUUUAUAACAAUUAUUCUAUUCUAGAUCAAUUAUUUGUGUAGAUCAAUUAUUUACACCUCUUGCAUAGAAACCACCAAAUACAGCAUAUGGGAUUCUUUAUUGCCUCAUGAUUUUUGUUUAUCUAUGCCAACAUUUACAGACGCCCAAGCCCUCAAUGCUGGGCUCCGUGCAGACGUGAGCCGGCACAAUUGUCUGCUUCUCCAUGUGCUCCCCAGAUAGAUUGGGUAUCCACAUCAAGAAUAGGAAGAAAAGCCAGACCGGGCACCGAACCAGCCAAGCGCUUGGUUCAUCGGUCCAGUUGGACUUCUCAAGUUUUGUAACAUUGCUUUCUGGUCCCUGCGACAACGUGCGAGGACAAACUUGAUUUUUAUGUUUACUAGUGAGCGUGCACGUGCAAAGCACAUCUUGCACGUCGAUAUAU